UCUUUCAGAUGGACAUCCUCAAGAUGCAUAGACAGUUCUGUAAACUGCCGUUGCUUGCUAAAAUUUCUAUCUUUCCGGUGUCUGUAGUUACUCUGAUGGGUAUCGGCGCUCUGAUUGCUCAUGAGAGAAAUCAACUCGUGAAAUAUCUCCAAAAACGGUUUGUCUUCUUCCCUUGAAACUUCAAUAGAUUCUUUUCUCUUUAUCUAUUGGUCUCACCUUGUAUCAGGUGGAUAGUUAAAUAUCUCACC
This is a long non-coding RNA of Cornus florida, 248 nucleotides long. RefSeq lists it as uncharacterized. The record is from RefSeq and is a predicted model, not a curated record. The transcript is spliced from 3 exons. Lineage: Eukaryota; Viridiplantae; Streptophyta; Magnoliopsida; Cornales; Cornaceae.